This 2658-nucleotide long non-coding RNA is filed under the name Homo sapiens (human). RNAcentral describes it as "HSALNT0018114". The record is from RNAcentral. Lineage: Eukaryota; Metazoa; Chordata; Mammalia; Primates; Hominidae.
AAAAAAGGUACAAAGAUUGGAAAGGAAGAAACAACUAUUCUUAUUUGCCACUAAUAUAAUUCCAACAGAUCUUUGGACAAACCAUUAUAACUAGGUAAGGGAGUUCAACAAGGUUGCUAGAUAUAAGAAUCAACAUAAAGACCAAUGGCAUUCCUACACACAAUAGUCAAUGAGGAAAUGUAACAAAAAAGUCACAUUCAUAGUAGAAAGAAAAACUAACUUACUUAGACAUAAACUAAUAAAAAAUGUAAGAGACUACUCAGGAGAAAACUGUAAAACAUUACUGAAGGACAUUAAAAGCCCUAAAUGAACAGAGAGACAUGUGUACAGAUGAAAGGAGUAAAUUUUUCAAAACUGUGAAUUCUCAGAUUAACCUAUAAAUCCAAAGUAAUUCCAAUAAAAAUAACAACAGUGUUUUCAUGGAACAUAACAAACUGAUCCUAGAAUUUACAGCAAAGACAAAGUCAAGAAGAGCUAAGCUAAUUCUGAAGAACAUACAAUUAGCUCACCAGAUACCAACUUAUACAGCUAUAUAGUAAUGAAGACAAUAUGGUAUUGGUUGGGACAAACAACCGUUGAAACAGGAAAGGGGAUCUAGAAAAUUCUGCAUAUAUGGGAAACUGAUGUAUGACAAAGGUGGUACUAUAUGAGGUAAUGACAGGUUGGCCCCAACAAAUAAGUGUCAUUCUUCUCUUUUGGUUCAAGUAAAGGGACAGUGAGAAGUUUCAAAGGGCACUAUGGAGGUGAGAAAACUGCUGAAAACUGAAUUAUAAUUUGCCAAAAUAUUGGGCUUUUCCUGGCUGGGGGUUCCUAAACCAUGCAGAGGCUAAGCUAACGUGGAAUUCUCAAGCAUAACCAACACCCAGACAAUAGCCUACAGGAGACUCCACACAGGUAUUUCUGUACUUCUUCCAAUUUAAAGCUCCAUGGUCUCGAAUAUGGAUUGUUUUCAGAAAUGGUAAAAAGAAAAAAAUGUUAUGUAUUAGCAAAGAGAGCCUCUUUGGGGACUACUCCUAUCGUAUCACAUACUCAGAGUGGGAGAUGUAGUUGGAAAUGUUAUGCCCUUACUCUCUAUUCCCCACAACCCCAUUUGUCCACAUGCGAGGUGGCACAUUCUUGUCUUGGGCUAGAGAAGAGUGACUAAAGUUUUUUCAGAGCUUUCCCUGCACCAACAAUAGCCUUGUUGACUACCUUAGAAAGGGGAAAAAAAUCAACUUAAAGUUUAUUUGCACCUUAAAAGUUCAUGAUAAAAAUGCAAAUACAGUAACAAAAACAUCCUCACCCAAUCUAUAAUUUUAAGUAAUUUAUUUCAAUAGAAAUAUUUCAGAAAACUGUACUUAAAUUCAUCUUAAGUUAGCUUAUGCAGACACACUGAAGAUCGCACACUCACAUUUGCAUAUUAAAAAGAAACAAAAAGUGAGAGAGGAACCAAGCUGCACAUCACUCAAGGAGGUCAUAGUGCAAUCGAGUGCUUCAUCAUUAGAGUACCUCAAGUUAAUUGGGAUAAAGAAUAAAAAUGGCUUGUGUUUUCAGAUAUAUUAUCAUCACUGGGUACCUGUCCUUACAGAUGUUUGAUCUCCUUCAGAUUAUGUUGUGAACCAGUUCCCCACCCCCUCCCCACACACAUGUUCUUUAGUAGGAUGUAAAACAAUGAAUUUGUCAAUAAUCAAGGUACAGAAACUCUUGAGAGUCUGACUUAUUAUCAGCUAUUUUACCAUACCUAUUAAGUCAGUAAUUAUUGGACUAUAUAUGUGAGUAGUUCUAGUAGGUCAUAUCUUCAGGGGAAACAAUAUUUGUUAUCUGGUAUCUAAAGCACAGCUAUUAUUUAUGAAGUUUCUGCUUUUCUAUUAAGAAAAAAAAGAGCCCAAUCCCAAAACACUGUAAUUAUGUAUUCUUUUAAUCCCAUAAUCACUUCUGUAGUACAAAUGGCCAGGGUCAAAAUUUAAAUUUUGCUAACACUCCUCAAGGACCAGUUAACUCUUUCAUUUGGCUUGAAUGACUACUUGCCUACUCUGGAACAUACUAGCCCUUUAAAAAAAUGUGAAAAGAACAUCUUGAUUCAGGUUAACAUCCAGUAGCUCUAGGUCUUCCAAUAAUCUGAGAGAAGCAAAAUAUUUCCAACUUUGCUUUCACUGAAAAAACUAGCUUAGUCUCUUAACUUUCCUUUAACUUAUAUAUUAGAGAUAUUUUUACUUUCUUGUAUAUUUUCAAGAAAAUAAUAACUGGCAGGUUAAGUGACUACUUGUUUGUUUUGAGUGUUACUUAAAUGUAAAAAUAAAUGGAAAUAAAUCUCAUUUCUGGCCAAAGGGAUUUUCAUUACAAGAUUUCAGUACAUUUAACAAAACUCAAAUAUUUCUGGUUGUAUCUUAUUCUUUUAGGGCUUUUCCAAAAGGCCUUACAAUUAAAUGUAUGCUCAAAACAUCAACAACAAAAUAAAAAUGAACUUGGCUGAAGAGUGCUCUUCAAAUUUGUUUUUAAGAGUGCUUAUCUAAAGGUUGACUGGGGUGGGUUUAUUUUUAAUCUCCUACUCUAAAAGGAUAGAAGCAGGGUAGGAGCUUGUUUAAAAAGACUCAAAAACCAAGGAAGACUGCAACAAUCACCUACAGAGGAUUUGCUUUAUUAAAGAUUAUCUUCUGUUAGGCAACACUGGCACCCCUU